CGUAGGGUGCGAGCGUUAAUCGGAAUUACUGGGCGUAAAGCGUGCGCAGGCGGUUUAGUAAGACAGGCGUGAAAUCCCCGGGCUCAACCUGGGAACUGCGCUUGUGACUGCUAAGCUAGAGUACGGCAGAGGGGGGUGGAAUUCCACGUGUAGCAGUGAAAUGCGUAGAGAUGUGGAGGAACACCAAUGGCGAAGGCAGCCCCCUGGGUCGAUACUGACGCUCAUGCACGAAAGCGUGGGUAGCAAACAGGAUUAGAUACCCUGGUAGUCCACGCCCUAAACGACUGUCAACUAGGUGUUGGGAGGGCAAAACCUUUUAGUACCGGAGCUAACGCGUGAAGUUGACCGCCUGGGGAGUACGGCCGCCAAGGUUA
This 374-nucleotide ribosomal RNA is filed under the name uncultured organism. Its description in RNAcentral is "bacterial SSU rRNA". It matches the Rfam family "Bacterial small subunit ribosomal RNA", at positions 526 to 896 of the family's 1533-position model. The record is from RNAcentral.